UACAGAGGGGGCCAGCGUUAUUCGGAAUUAUUGGGCGUAAAGCGUCCGUAGGUGGCACUUCAAGUCUGCGGUCAAAGACCGGGGCUUAACCCUGGAAAGGCCGUGGAAACUGAAGUGCUAGAGUGCAGUAGGGGUAGAGGGAAUUCCCGGUGUAGCGGUGAAAUGCGUAGAGCUCGGGAAGAACAUCGGUGGCGAAAGCGCUCUACUGGACUGCAACUGACACUGAGGGACGAAAGCUAGGGGAGCGAAUGGG
RNAcentral lists this ribosomal RNA (253 nucleotides) under uncultured bacterium. RNAcentral's name for it is "partial 16S ribosomal RNA". It matches the Rfam family "Bacterial small subunit ribosomal RNA", at positions 524 to 776 of the family's 1533-position model. The record is from RNAcentral.